This is a long non-coding RNA of Sorghum bicolor (sorghum), 1169 nucleotides long. RefSeq lists it as uncharacterized. The transcript is spliced from 4 exons. Lineage: Eukaryota; Viridiplantae; Streptophyta; Magnoliopsida; Poales; Poaceae. The record is from RefSeq and is a predicted model, not a curated record.
CAAACCGUGGACUCGUGGAGUUGUUACUCGCCCACUCCAGACUUUGCCACCGCACGCCCACUGCAGUUGCGAGUCCACCAGGCGCCGGCGAGGUGCCCAUCCAGCGAGCGCCGGCGAGGGGCGCGUCCAGUGCGCGUCGGCGAGGGGCGGAUCCAGCGGUCACUGGCGAGGGGGUCGUCCAGCGGGCGCCGGCGAGGGAGCGUUCGCGGGCGCCGGUGAGGGCCUGGGCAGCGGGCGCCGGCGAGGGCCUAGGCAGCGGGCUCCGACGAUGGAGCGUUCGCGGGCGGCGGCGAGGGCCUAUGCAGCGGGCGCCGUCAUCGUCCUCCUCCCUCCACUCAGACAUGGCAGGUGCUGCGCCGUUGCCUCCCUGCUCCCGAUCUGGACGGCGCCGCGACCCUCAUCCAGAUCCCCUAACGGCCGCACCUUCUACAGGAGGAGGGAGAGGGCCCGAGACCGGGGGGACAACGCGGCGUGGUGGCAGCAGCGCGUGCAGCGGAGAAGGUGUAGGAACUGCAGGACACGGGCGGCACUGCUGAUGCAGGCGCGGGCGGGUGUGGAGUCGCUGCGCUGCCGCACUCCAGGGCAAGCUCCAUGGCGACGCGAGGCCACUGCGGCUUGACUCCAUGUGCUGCGUGUAUUAGGUACCCCCUCCCUUCAAUUUUCUGGUAGCCAAGUCAAGUAGUUUUUUUGUUGUUUAGGUACUUCGUGCAGAAAAGUAAGCAGCAGGGAAGCUAGAGAGCAGCGAUGACAUGUUUUUUGUUCUCAGAUGUAAGCCUGUACAUAUGAAUUUCAUAGGAUCUGAAGCCUAACAGCUCUGUGUUCAAGUCCAGAGGAUCUGAAGCCUAAUAGCUCAACCAAGAUUUGCACACAUCGGACCAUGCAGAUUUGCAAUGGACCUACAUAAUUGGCCUAGGAUCAGUUGGCCUACAUUGAGCUGAGAGGAAAGGAAGUAGCUAGUAGGUAUAUGUAUAGCCAUUGAUUCUAUAAAGCAACCAUUACUUUGUAGUUCUGGAGGAUACUCUAUGCAAUCACUUAUAGUUCAACACUGUUGUGUAUUUCGAUCAUGAGAACUUACUGUGAAGUGUGAACUAUGUGUGUACUGGUGUGAAAUAUAUCAUAUUGUGAAACAUGGGAUUCAGAAAUGUACACCGUGGAUCUAGAUUUCUUUU